This 253-nucleotide ribosomal RNA is filed under the name uncultured prokaryote. Its description in RNAcentral is "partial 16S ribosomal RNA". It matches the Rfam family "Bacterial small subunit ribosomal RNA", at positions 525 to 777 of the family's 1533-position model. The record is from RNAcentral.
ACGUAGGGGGCUAGCGUUGUCCGGAUUUAUUGGGCGUAAAGAGCGUGUAGGCGGCCUGACAAGUCUGCUGUGAAAACUCGAGGCUCAACCUCGAGAUGUCGGCGGAAACUGUCUGGCUAGAGUCCGGAAGAGGAGAGUGGAAUUCCUGGUGUAGCGGUGAAAUGCGCAGAUAUCAGGAAGAACACCUAUGGCGAAGGCAGCUCUCUGGGACGGUACUGACGCUGAGACGCGAAAGCGUGGGGAGCGAACAGGA